This 1375-nucleotide long non-coding RNA is filed under the name Pan troglodytes (chimpanzee). RNAcentral's name for it is "lncRNA (ENSPTRG00000053756.1)". Lineage: Eukaryota; Metazoa; Chordata; Mammalia; Primates; Hominidae. The record is from RNAcentral.
ACCCUAGCAAUGCUGACCACUCUUCAUGGGAUGGCUGAGACAGGAACACCCAGUGCCUGGGGAUGUCAGCAAAAGAAAGAGGCCCUUUCUCCCCUCACCGCCCACCUCCAUUUGGAUUUUGCAGCCUGAGCACCGUCCUCUAAUGGAGCCACUACUUACCUUUCCCACUUCAGCUCCCUAGGGAGAACUGAAGGGCUGCUUUCCCAGAAGCCACCAAGGCUCUCCAGCUGCACCCCCAGAGCCACUGCUGGCAGUUGAGAUUCCCCUGGGAGGUGAGAAUCUGUGAGUCUUCCUAACCACCAGGCCCCAACCAUCUGGGAACAUUUGAGUUCAAAUAACCCAACCAGUCCUGUCCUGCAGGUCUCGAUCCCCUUAAGCAGAGCUAAGAUCCACCUGGAAUGUAUCAGCGCUAUUAUCAGUACUAGUUGUUGACACAUGGAGUCCAUUCUGAUGGGCUGGUGCCUGUCCUCUACCAGUUGUUAAGUAUUUUGGCUAUCACUUCUGUCCUCUGUUGCCAUGCCUCGCACUUCAACCCCUCCUACACUCCUCCCCUGGGCUUCCUCCCCUAGUCCUGCCUUUCGCUGCUGAUUGCCUUUGGUAUCAGACAGGCGCCCAGUAAGCAACAGAUGGCACACCCAAAUUGGGUAAUUUGAGAAGAAUGUAAUAAGGGACUAUUUAGGAAAGUGUGGGCAGGGUAUAGGGAAACCACUAGGGGUAGGGCAGUACCCCGGGGCAAGGGGAGGGACCAGUAAUAGAGAGGGAUGGGUGGAGAAAGCUCUGGUGUGAGCUGAGACCCCUGGCUGGUUGCUGGAGGCAGACAGUUCACUAUUAUUCAUCAGUGAGAAAACCUGGGAAAUUAAAAACCCCAAUCUCCCUCUCUUUCCUCCCUUCCAUCUCCUGUAGGUAUCCCAUUUUCCAAACCGAACAGAGGGCACAGGAGCCCAUUGAACCAGUCUAUCCAUAGAGGUCAGCCUCCUAGGCACAGAACAUGGUGGGGAGGGGUGGAGAGUGGAUCUGGAGGGGCAAAUGAAAUAUAUUUAGCCCCCCUCCCAUAAUAUUUUAGAAGAACUUUAUCAUGAAAAAAAUUCAAACAUAUUUUAAAAGCAGAGUAGUAUAAUAAACCCAAAAUACCCGCCAUCCAGCUUCAACAAUGAUUAUUUGAGAGCCAAUCAUCUCAUUUUAUCUAUAUUCUCACUCACUCUUACCUCUUUAUUAUUUUGCAGCAAAUGCUGGGCUUCACAUCAUUUCAUCUGUCAAUAAUUCGUAUGCAUCUCUAAAAGAUAAGGAUUCUUUUUAAACCAUAACACCAUUAGCACAGCAAAAAAGUAAAAAAUAAUAAUGAUAAAAUAAAAAUAAUUCCUUAAUAUUAUCAAAU